This 253-nucleotide ribosomal RNA is filed under the name uncultured bacterium. Its description in RNAcentral is "partial 16S ribosomal RNA". It matches the Rfam family "Bacterial small subunit ribosomal RNA", at positions 524 to 776 of the family's 1533-position model. The record is from RNAcentral.
UACGUAGGGUGCGAGCGUUAAUCGGAAUUACUGGGCGUAAAGCGUGCGCAGGCGGCUUCGCAAGUCAGACGUGAAAUCCCCGGGCUUAACCUGGGAAUGGCGUUUGAAACUACGGAGCUGGAGUGUGGCAGAGGGAGGUAGAAUUCCACGUGUAGCGGUGAAAUGCGUAGAUAUGUGGAGGAAUACCGAUGGCGAAGGCAGCUUCCUGGGCCAACACUGACGCUCAUGCACGAAAGCGUGGGGAGCAAACAGG